This 398-nucleotide small RNA is filed under the name Pan troglodytes (chimpanzee). RNAcentral's name for it is "processed transcript". Lineage: Eukaryota; Metazoa; Chordata; Mammalia; Primates; Hominidae. The record is from RNAcentral.
UGCAUACUCGCUAGUGGUCUGUACAGGCGGCACGGUUUGAUGGCAGAGAUAUUUUCUUUCCAAACUGUUCAAAAUGAUGAACGAAGAUGCAGCUCAGAAAAGCGACAGUGGAGAGAAGUUCAACGGCAGUAGUCAGAGGAGAAAAAGACCCAAGAAGGCAUAGGGAUUUCCAGCUUUACAACAUGCUAUGAAUUAUCCUCCUCUGUGUUAACACUUGUGUUAACCUCAUCCUAAGUCCUGGGGGAUGUCCUGUUCAACCUGCCAUUUCACCCAUAGUAGAGUUGGUCCACAGUGAAAAGUGGUGGAAAGACUGAAGUCUUUAUACCACUUGCAUAUAUUGUUCCUGAUCCUGCGUGGACAUUUCAGAGAACUGGUGCAUAAACUCUCCGCUCCGUGCC